Musca domestica (house fly) is the source of this 2463-nucleotide long non-coding RNA. RefSeq lists it as uncharacterized. Lineage: Eukaryota; Metazoa; Arthropoda; Insecta; Diptera; Muscidae. The record is from RefSeq and is a predicted model, not a curated record. The transcript is spliced from 4 exons.
AUCGCACUUAUAAACAUUUUCAUCUUUCUCCACUUGUUAUACUUUCGUUUUACAUGAACGAAGUGGCAUAACCAUGUAAGUUGGUUUUGUCUGUUACAACAAAAACCCCUUCGUCGACCAUGCCUUGUCUAUUAAUAGAACAGUGUUGGCUUAUUUGUUCGGGAUAACAUAGUAUAUUGCUGUUGCAAAAUGGUCCCUUUAUUGUUGUUUUUAUAAAAACGUUUGUUCUUUAGUAUUAAGUACUUACCGAUACUUUAUAUUAAUAAACAUUAAGAUUAUUUAUAAAUGUGUUCUUUGGGGUUUAAGGAAAAAUGCAAUAUUGAACAGAUUGAUGAAGGCAACGAAAGUGAUUUACUUGAAGCAACGAACUCACCUUUAACAUUUUGAUUUAAACAAGUAUCUCCUAAUUCGAAUCAGGUUUCCUCUAGCGGCUAUCCGGUUAGGGAAACUGUCCACCCACCGAGAUUACCUCUCGCCAUGACACCCCUAUUCACAGGGUGCCCCAUAUUCGAUCCCUUCACUUACCCCUCUAACUCAUUCCUACCACCCUUUUAAAGAGUUUUAAGCCGAAUACAUCGCUAUCAAUUUAAAAAAUGAGUCUUAGUGAAAAUUAGAUGCACAUCAAAAACAAGUUAUUAACAAGAGAUCAAAACAAAAUACAUUGUAAAAAAUGGUUUUCUUGGUUUCAUUAAACCAUUAAUAUUCUUUAUUCUCUCUUCUUUCCAGGCAACCUCUUUAUUUUCAGGUUAUAUCUGGCGGCUGAUAAAGAUUAUUUAGGCUUGAUCUGGAGGCGGCUCUUCCCAAUGUGUCAAACAAUGCAGAUCGGGGCCGUACAAAUUCGUAACACUUGAGCUCAACCGCGAGAGGAAUCUUGUGCCCAAUGAAGUAAGUAGACACUUAACUGCUUGUUUUCCCUUCUACUAACUUUUACUCGUUUUCUCUUUUCUUUCUAUGCAAUAUUCACCGAAUUUAACUGAUUUGUCGUCAUCCGUUCUGCCGUCCAAGUUAAGAGUACAAUGUCUUUGGGAAUUAUACCAGGUGUAGAGGUUCCUGGUUUAUUACACCGAUAGGCCAACAAUCGAUACCUCAACAAUUACCUGCUGUCAUCAAGAGAGAUUGAUCGCUAAGCUAGAAGAAGCAAGAAGCUAAACUUUGCCACAACAAAAAGAAUUGUUUUAACAAAUAAAUACAUAACAAGUGUUUUACAAGUGCCUUAACCACCAGUGCCUUGUUAGCAACACCUUAACCCUCUAUAAGACGCACCCACAAAGCCAACUAUCCUGCCGACAUCCUUAUCAAGGUAUAGGAGGGAAAAAGUACAAAAUUCAAUAAAUUAAUUUUGAUGCAAACCUGCUUUGUAUGUGUUACCUAUAACAAGAAACUUUAUUUGGCAACUCUAAACUUUCUCGAUCUGGCAAAUCUAUAAUCUUUUGUGAAUGGCAACAAGCGUUGUCGGUGAGUACAUGCAAAUGGAAAGAAAAACGGAAGAAAAAGAAAAGAAGGAAAAUACUGCAAAUAUCGAAACCAAUAUAAAAGUGAUGAAGAUUCUUUAUCUGCAUCUUUAUCUCAAUGUAAAAAGUCAAACAAUGCAGAUCAAAUGGCCGCUCAGUACAUCUGAAUUUUAAUGGCUAUAUUCCUUGAUAUGUAGUAAACUAAAUGUAGCUGAAGCCAUUUAUAUGUGUUUUAAAAUGUAGUGAAAAAUUAGGCAAAAUAGAGGAAAAUGGGAACCGGUAUAUAACGCAAAAACCGGAAACCUAAAUAAAUAAAUUUUUUUUUUAUUGUUGGCAAGUUUCGUUGGUGAAUUUAAAAAUAAGUCUGUCCAAAUUGUGGACCAAGUGCCUUUGUGCCGAGUUGACCAGCAAACCGCCAACAAUUAAUUUAUUCUGGUUAGUCUGGUGGCGAAAUCCUCCCGAACACCCACUUUAUCACACCAUUAAAAAGGGUAAAGGAUAAGAGAAUAACAUUGAAAAGAGGUAACCCACUAUAAUAACGUCGAUCGUUGCUAAGAUCUGAGAGAGAAAUUCCGUGGCGGUUAUACCAACCCUCAGAAUACUGAGAACUGUAACGUUUCUAAAAAAAUUAAUUUGUGUGUGUGAAUGUGUUGUCUGUGUGUUUGUUCUAGUUAUAAGUAUUUGAUUUCUAAUUUUUAGAAUUUUUUAAUGCCGGACACCUGGUUUUUUUAAGUGUAACUUAUUUUUCCUGAAGAACGCUAGAAAAGACUUUGACGUAGUAAAUAAUAUCAGACUAAAAUCUUUCUUAAGUGAGCUAUCUUAGGGUAAGAAUUUCGUAAAGAAGAAACUGUUCGACUAAAUACGUUUUAGGUUCCCUUUAUUGCUUCGACGGGAAUACCUAAUAUUGAUGACAUUAGCCUUUUUUGAUUGCCUUAGGUAUGGUGUUAGAAAGUCCAUGUAUGGAUAAUAGCCUACAAAGGUAAGAUACAAAAUUAGAAUUAAGAUAUCUAUG